CCUCCAGACUCCUACGGGAGGCAGCAGUGGGGGAUAUUGGACAAUGGGGGGAACCCUGAUCCAGCGACGCCGCGUGAGUGAAGAAGUCUUUCGGUAUGUAAAGCUCUGUCAGCAGGGAAGAAAGAAAUGACGGUACCUGACCAAGAAGCCCCGGCUAACUACGUGCCAGCAGCCGCGGUAAUACGUAGGGGGCAAGCGUUAUCCGGAAUUACUGGGUGUAAAGGGAGCGUAGACGGUUAAGUAAGUCUGGAGUGAAAGGCCGGGGCCCAACCCCGGGACUGCUCUGGAAACUAUUGAACUUGAGUGCAGGAGAGGUAAGCGGAAUUCCUAGUGUAGCGGUGAAAUGCGUAGAUAUUAGGAGGAACACCAGUGGCGAAGGCGGCUUACUGGGCCGUAAUUGACGCUGAGGAACGAAAGCCAGGGUAGCAAAUGGGAUUAGAUACCCUGGUAG
Molecule: ribosomal RNA, 451 nt
Filed under: uncultured bacterium
Lineage: Bacteria
Description: bacterial SSU rRNA
Rfam family: Bacterial small subunit ribosomal RNA
Source: RNAcentral